UAUAAACAGCAUCUCAUAUGUUGGGAGGUACAGGCAGUACAUCAGCCCUAACAAUGUUAUUGUGUCCCUCUGAACUCUGCUCUCGGAGCUAAGCAUUUGGAAGGCAGACCCAGAAUAAAGAGAGGCAUUCACGAAGCUAACAUUUUAUAUUGAGAACCCUUAGUACCCCUUUUAAUGUGCUAUAAAAUCAGGGGCUUCGCUUUUUCAUGAACUGUGUGCAAACGCAGAAGCAGUGACUGGAGGUUGCCUCUGUUUGGGUCUGUUUUAUGGUUGC
RNAcentral lists this long non-coding RNA (274 nucleotides) under Bos taurus (domestic cattle). Its description in RNAcentral is "long non-coding RNA NONBTAT001869". Lineage: Eukaryota; Metazoa; Chordata; Mammalia; Artiodactyla; Bovidae. The record is from RNAcentral.